This 254-nucleotide ribosomal RNA is filed under the name uncultured bacterium. Its description in RNAcentral is "partial 16S ribosomal RNA". It matches the Rfam family "Bacterial small subunit ribosomal RNA", at positions 524 to 776 of the family's 1533-position model. The record is from RNAcentral.
UACAGAGGGUGCAAGCGUUGUUCGGAAUUACUGGGCGUAAAGCGCGCGCAGGCGGAUCCUGCAAGUCCGGAGUGAAAUCUCACUGCUCAACGGUGAGGCUGCUUUGGAUACUGCGGAUCUGGAGACCGGUAGAGGCUGGUAGAAUUGCAGGUGUAGCGGUGGAAUGCGUAGAGAUCUGCAAGAAUACCCGUGGCGAAGGCGGCUCUCUGGGACGGUACUGACGCUGAGACGCGAAAGCGUGGGGAGCGAACAGG